CUGCCAUCCCCGGGGAGCCGCGCGGCUGAGAGGUGGGUUUCGCAACCCACGACCCGUUGAACCUGAACCCGUUAGCACGGGCGGAGGGAAGGGCAGUCUUUAAGGC
Molecule: non-coding RNA, 106 nt
Filed under: Erythrobacter sp. EC-HK427
Lineage: Bacteria; Pseudomonadati; Pseudomonadota; Alphaproteobacteria; Sphingomonadales; Erythrobacteraceae
Description: TPP riboswitch aptamer (THI element)
Rfam family: TPP riboswitch aptamer (THI element)
About the family: Vitamin B(1) in its active form thiamin pyrophosphate (TPP) is an essential coenzyme that is synthesised by coupling of pyrimidine and thiazole moieties in bacteria. The previously detected thiamin-regulatory element, thi box was extended, resulting in a new, highly conserved RNA secondary structure, the THI element, which is widely distributed in eubacteria and also occurs in some archaea.
Source: Rfam by way of RNAcentral